Molecule: non-coding RNA, 72 nt
Organism: Phrynosoma platyrhinos (Desert horned lizard)
Lineage: Eukaryota; Metazoa; Chordata; Lepidosauria; Squamata; Phrynosomatidae
Source: the annotation of a GenBank genome assembly
UCCAGCAUGGCACAGUGGUUUGAGCAUUGGACUAUGACUCCAGAGACCAGGGUUCAAAUCCCCGCUCUGGCA